This 460-nucleotide ribosomal RNA is filed under the name uncultured bacterium. Its description in RNAcentral is "partial 16S ribosomal RNA". It matches the Rfam family "Bacterial small subunit ribosomal RNA", at positions 338 to 795 of the family's 1533-position model. The record is from RNAcentral.
CCUACGGGUGGCAGCAGUGAGGAAUAUUGGUCAAUGGCCGGAAGGCUGAACCAGCCAUGCCGCGUGAAGGUCAGUGCCCUAUGGGCGUUAAACUUCUUUUGUGCGGGAGCAAUAAUGGUCACGUGUGGCCAGACGAGAGUACCGUACGAAUAAGCAUCGGCUAACUCCGUGCCAGCAGCCGCCGGUAUACGGGGGAUGCACGCGUUAUCCGGAUUUUUUGGGUUUAAAGGGUGCGGAGGCUGUGAAGUAAGUCAGCGGUGAAAUGCCCCCGGUCAACGGGGUGAAGUGCCAUUGAUACUGCCUUGCUGGAGUGCGGAUGCCGUGGGAGGAAUGUGUGGUGUAGCGGUGAAAUGCAUAGAUAUCACACAGAACACCGAUUGCGAAGGCAUCUCACGAAUCCGCGAUUGACGCUGAUGCACGAAAGCGUGGGUAUCAAACAGGAUUAGAUACCCGUGUAGUC